UUUUAGCCCCGAUUGAGACGGCAUCCUUUUUAAAACUUUGAUUAGUAAGUUAUUAUUUUAAAAACAAAAACAGGACAAUUAUUAAAAAAUCAUCCUGUUUAUUAUUAAAGGUUUUAAAAAGAUAUAGGCGAAAGCGGGAAACAGC
RNAcentral lists this small RNA (145 nucleotides) under Neotamlana nanhaiensis. RNAcentral describes it as "Tamlana nanhaiensis Flavo-1 RNA". It matches the Rfam family "Flavo-1 RNA". Lineage: Bacteria; Pseudomonadati; Bacteroidota; Flavobacteriia; Flavobacteriales; Flavobacteriaceae. The record is from Rfam by way of RNAcentral.